UUGCAGCAAGGUGACCCCAUUGAACAACUGUACAAAGAGCACUCAGAAAGAGGAUCCUUUGUCGAUCAACUUGUCAAUCAUGUUAAUUGGUUCAAACAGGCUACUGCAUCUUUUGAUCCCAAGUAUGAACAUAUUGACUUGAGUGAGAAACAAAAGGUCUUGAACGAGUGCCCAAACACAGAAAAUUGGUUGAGGGAGAAAAAGCAACUGCAGGACUCGCUUCCAAAGCAUGCUGAACCAGUUCUUCUGUCAUCUGAUAUUAGGAAGAAAGUAGAGGCACUUGAUAGGAGGAGGUGGUUUUACCCAAUAAUUCCAUCUGGUAGAGGCGUUAAGAAGAGGUGGUUUUACUGGCAUGAUGACGGGUCAUGUUGGCUGGAUGAUGGUGACCGUACACUGCAAGCUAGGUAUCCCACAUUUACGAUCACAAGUAUUUUCUUUAUCUGUCAAAAUAUGCAGGCAAUGGGUGGUGAUGGAACUUGAUUCUUGAACGUUUAGUCAUUAUUCAAAUGCUAUACCAUUUUGAUAAUUUUGUUCAGUUUCGUCAAUUUUGAUCAUUAAAGCCUGAAUCAUCGCCACUUUGUAAAUGAUUUUUUUGGAUGGUGUAUUCCUGUAAUCCAUGCCUUCAGGACCCACUAACUAUUUUGAUUAUGA
Helianthus annuus (common sunflower) is the source of this 651-nucleotide long non-coding RNA. RefSeq lists it as uncharacterized. The transcript has 3 exons. Lineage: Eukaryota; Viridiplantae; Streptophyta; Magnoliopsida; Asterales; Asteraceae. The record is from RefSeq and is a predicted model, not a curated record.